GGGGGCAUAGCUUAGUUGGUAGAGCGCUGCCCUUGCACGGCAGAGGCCAGCGGUUCGAGUCCGCUUGCCUCCA
Molecule: transfer RNA, 73 nt
Filed under: Cryptomonas paramaecium
Lineage: Eukaryota; Cryptophyceae; Cryptomonadales; Cryptomonadaceae
Description: Cryptomonas paramecium tRNA-Ala
Rfam family: tRNA
About the family: Transfer RNA (tRNA) molecules are approximately 80 nucleotides in length. Their secondary structure includes four short double-helical elements and three loops (D, anti-codon, and T loops).
Source: RNAcentral